ACUUGACACUAAGGUAAAUAAGGAUCCAGGGUGAAAACUGGAAAACAAGACUCUAAAAUUUUCCUGUUCUGUUUAUGGUUUUGAGUUUCAGUAUGAAAAUGAACUAAAAUGUUUCCCCCUUCAGCCUUAACUUCUGCUGAAGAGAGGAGACAUAAUGAAGUAGGAUAAGAUAAUUUUUUUAUUCACAAUGAAGAAAAAUAAUGACAAAGAACAGGCUUCCCAACAUGCCUCUUAGAAUCUGACUAGAAUAACCAAAGUAAAAGCAAAAACUGUGAGUAGUGAGUGGAGAAGGUAGAUAGAACUCAUUAAUGCUCAAAAUAAGGAACAAUGCCAACCACAUAACCAAAAAUCCCGAGGAAUUUUUGCCAUCUCUAAUAUAUAUUGACUUAGAUACAUCUAUUCUUCCUGGAUGCCUGUGGAAUUCUUUAUUUUUGAAAUUGCUGAUAAGCCACCCACUAGAGUGCCAGAAAGCUGUCCUGCAAAGUUACUUACCGGUCUGCCAGAGAAUCUCUCUGGGAGGUGAGAAGUGACCUGACCUAGAAAUUGGGAGAACUGGUAUGCCCUUGCUCCAGCUCUUGGUCCUUGAGUGAGCUGAAUCUCUUCUGAGGCUCAAAACACAUGGACAGUAAUGUUUGUGAGGACAGACUGAGGUAGUACUUGUUAGGUGCUCAGGAGUGAUUGGUACAUAGGCAGUGCUUUACAAAUGUUAGUUCUUAGAAGUAUUAUGAUUCUAUGAUUCCACAGUUUGCUGCUAUUUUGUAUUUAAAUCACUAUCUUUCUUAGAACUGGCAAAGGAGUUGGAUCCUGUAAUUUUAAAAAGUCAUCUUUCUUCCUGCUUCUAAGAAAAGAAUCACAAUUUCUUUUCCUAACAUUUCUUCUGGAUCUUUGAUCAGUGGGGAGGAGCAUUGGAUCUGGUGGCUAGACUGUGUCAGACUGUCAAAGAUCUGAGAAUGGCAGGAGAGAAGCCA
Long non-coding RNA from Orcinus orca (killer whale), 968 nucleotides. RefSeq lists it as uncharacterized. The record is from RefSeq and is a predicted model, not a curated record. Lineage: Eukaryota; Metazoa; Chordata; Mammalia; Artiodactyla; Delphinidae. The transcript has 3 exons.